CCUACGGGGGGCAGCAGUGAGGAAUAUUGGUCAAUGGGCGCGAGCCUGAACCAGCCAAGUAGCGUGAAGGAAUACUGCCCUACGGGUUGUAAACUUCUUUUAUAAAGGAAUAAAGUGAGGCACGUGUGCCUUUUUGUAAGUACUUUAUGAAUAAGGAUCGGCUAACUCCGUGCCAGCAGCCGCGGUAAUACGGAGGAUCCGAGCGUUAUCCGGAUUUGUUGGGUUUAAAGGGAGCGUAGAUGGGUUGUUAAGUCAGUUGUGAAAGGUUGCGGCUCAACCGUAAGAUUGCAAUUGAUACUGGCAGGCUUGAGUACAGGUGAGGUAGGCGGAAUUCGUGGUGUAGCGGUGAAAUGCUUAGAGAUCACGAAGAACACCGAUUGCGAAGGCAGCUUACUAAACUGCCACUGACGUUGAGGCACGAAAGUGUGGGUAUCGAACAGGAUUAGAUACCCUAGUAGUC
This 460-nucleotide ribosomal RNA is filed under the name uncultured bacterium. Its description in RNAcentral is "partial 16S ribosomal RNA". It matches the Rfam family "Bacterial small subunit ribosomal RNA", at positions 338 to 795 of the family's 1533-position model. The record is from RNAcentral.